This 422-nucleotide ribosomal RNA is filed under the name uncultured bacterium. RNAcentral describes it as "bacterial SSU rRNA". It matches the Rfam family "Bacterial small subunit ribosomal RNA", at positions 355 to 774 of the family's 1533-position model. The record is from RNAcentral.
UGAGGAAUAUUGGGCAAUGCCCGCAAGGGUGACCCAGCAACGCCGCGUGGAGGAUGAAUGUCGUAAGAUUGUAAACUCCUGUUAGAGGGGAAGAAUAGUACCGGUUGGACCGGUAUAUGACUGUACCCUCAGAGAAAGCUCCGGCUAACUACGUGCCAGCAGCCGCGGUAAUACGUAGGGAGCAAGCGUUGUUCGGAUUUACUGGGCGUAAAGGGCGCGUAGGCGGCGCGGUAAGUCACUUGUGAAAUCUCUGAGCUUAACUCAGAACGGCCAAGUGAUACUGCUGUGCUAGAGUGCGGAAGAGGCAACCGGAAUUCUUGGUGUGGCGGUGAAAUGCGUAGAUAUCAAGAGGAACACCUGAGGCGAAGGCGGGUUGCUGGGCCGACACUGACGCUGAUGCGCGAAAGCCAGGGGAGCAAACG